GGCCCCGCACCCCUCACCGCUGCUCGGUCCCGGCCGCGGGCCCUCGCCGCCGCCGGGAAAGGGCUCCUCCGCGGAACCCUCGAGCGUCGGGGGCGCGGACGGCACGCCGUAGGAAGGGCUCUUUUCGCCCCAGUGCAGGUUGCGGCUGCCCGGGAUGUCCGGGGGCGUCGUCACCCAGUGGCCCAGUUCCGUCCCUGAACCGAAGGAGCGCGCAUGGAAAGGGCCGCCGAAAGCCGGAUCAUCCCGAACGCCUCCCCGGUAGCCCAGGCCAUCGAAGCCCUCAGGGCGCCGCGGAUGCAUCUCGGACAGGCGGACGAGGACGAGAGAGGCCGGCCCACGGAGCCCAGGCCUCCACCGCGUCCCCGCCGCAGCCGCUGCGCGUCCGGAGACUGACAACCGGAAGUCACGGCUAGAACCCGGAAGUCCUAGGAGCACGUGACUCCGCCCUGGCGCGUCUUCCCUGAGUUGGUUGCUAGGGAGAUGCGGCUUAGGAUGGAAGGGGAAGGAUGCUUGUUGGGCCUGGUCCCAGGAGAUGCAAGGUGUGUCCCCUGCUAGCAGGGAUGCUCUGAGCUGUGCAGCAGCCACGAGUGACCGCGGACUGUUGCAACAUGCUGACUCCCCUCACCCAGGUGCUCACCCUUUUCAAGGGAACCCUGUGUGAGGGCAAGAGUAGCCUUCAGCCUAGCUUUGUCUCCGGCUGUGUGGACCACCACAGCAGACAUUAACAAUGUUCAAAUCAAAAACAUCCUCGUGUGUGAAUACAUACUGCCCUCAACCACAUAGGAAUCAACUGUUUAACUUUUCUAAGGCAACUGUAUACAGUUUUCUUUUUUCUGAUGUAUCAACUUGGGUAACUGAGAUCACAGCGUUGUCCCUGAACACCCCCACCCCAUGACGACUUCUGUUGAUUCCCCCCACUACCUGUUUUUAUUAGUUUCUUGAGGUCUUGAGGCUGGGUGGCUCUUGUUAGAUCUGACCGAGUUUUGCAUGGCUUCUCCCUGAGCCUUCUUCCCAACUGAACACUAGAAUCUAAAGACGUUCAGAAGAGAAUGCUGACGUAUUCCCUUCAAAGGCCAUGAACCUUCGUUUAAAGGGAUAACCUACAUUUUGGGCAUCUUGAGAUUUCUUGGAUUAGGUUAUGAUGUGCCUUGGCAAAAUGUGGGGAGUCUCUUGAUCUAGUAUUCCUUGUGUGCUUAUAUCAAAGCACUACUAGACAUGGCAAUAAAAGAAUUUCUUUUCCAGAACUAGGCUCUCCGGCCCAGAAGCUUCUGUAUGUUUGAUGGUGUGUUUUAAGGAGUAUAAGGAGAAGAAGGGAGAGGGAGUUUUAACACAGAAAUGUUGCAUGUCAUAACUUCACUUCCUUGAAAGUGGAGAGAGAAUGAAUUAUACCUCAGGAGCUAGAUAAAGAAUAACCAAAACCAUAGAAAUCGUCACUCUCAAAGCACAGUUUUAAUGCACUAUAUUCUUCCUUGUUUAAAAAAUUGGAAGAGAAUAUUUGGUUAUUUUUAUGCAGUGAAUCGGAAGACUUUCUAAUCCAAGGGCAGAUCUAAAAGCCAUUUAAGGAAUUGGGAAAGAUAUAAAUAAUUUAACUAUAAAUUUUACACUUGAAAAAUUAAAAAUAGUUGUAACCAACAUGAAGAGAUAAAUAACAAACCGGGAAAAUUAUAUUUUAGAAUAAUUUAGACAAUGAAGCAUUACUCUAUAAAGAGCUUUUACCAGUGAAUAACAGUAAAUCAGUAUAAACACGAUCAAAGGAUAUGAAGAGACUAUUUUAAAAGGAAACAGGUGAAUAGUCACAUAACAUAUGUCUUCCAGUAAUGAAAAUAUUUUAUAUGAGCAGUCACCGCUCAUUUGUUAAAGUGGCAACCUAUGCCAGGUAUGGUGGCUUAGCACUUAGGAGGCUGGACAGGGGGUUGCCAGGUGUUCCAGGUGUUCCAAGCCACCCCAGUCUUAGACCAAAACAAAACAUUCAAUGUCAGUCUUUAUGCAAAACUGCACCUUCUUGUUCCGGGUGAGGAAAGGAGUAUCUCUCACUAAGGAGUGAUUAUAAAAAUAUAGAAUUUUUUAGGGAAAGCAGUAUAGUACUUUUUUGUAUUUUAAGCUCUUAAAUUUUAGGACCUAAAUAAACCAUCUGUGCCCUAUAGACAGGUAGAGCUUAUACACUAUGCAUGUACUUAUGAUAUACUUGCCAACAAGAAGAAAAGCUAUAAAUAACAAGUCAUUGUUAACUUACCAAUCACUAAGUGAGUCAAUACAGAUCAUUAAACAUAUUGAUCACCGAGUGUGGUGACGCAUGCCUUUAAUCCCAGCACUCGAGAGGCAGAGGCAGGCGAAUUUCUGAGUUGAAGGCCAGCCUGGUCUACAAAGUGAGUUCCAGGACAGCCAGGGCUAUAGAUAGAAACCCUGUCUCAAAAAAUAUAUAUAUUGAUCAUCUGUCUUAGGACAAUACAGGUUUUUUGCACGUGCUGUGGUGGGCAUGUUUGUGUAUGUAGACAUAUUUGCACAUGCAUCUAGAGGUCCAAAGUCCACAUUGGCUGUCUUACUCAGUUGAUGUCUUACUCAGUUGAUAUCCACUUUAUUUAUUGACAUAUGGCCUCUUACUAAAACUGGAGCUUGCCGAGUACAGAUACUCUAGCUAGCCAUCUUGCCCAGGAAUACCAUUCCUCUGCCUGCUGAAUGCUGAGGUUGUGGGCAGCCUCCACGCCUACCUGGGCUUUAUUUGAGCACUGGCAAUCUGAACUCCUGCCCUCACACUUACAAUGCAACUGGUUUAUCUCAUGAGUCACUUCCAUGCCCCCUGCUCCAGAUACUGUUUUAAGCAACUGGGAUAUUGUGUUCAAUAAGGUAGGCAUAUGUUGAAAAGAGACAAAGAGCAUGUUAAACACAUGCAUACAUAAAGUGUCAAAUAAUGGAGCAAACAUAAGGUAAUGUCAAAUAAUUCUCUUUUUAAAAGAGCAGUCAUGUAACCUUUAUAGAUUAGUUGUUCUAGAAGGUAGUCCUCUCUGAAGAGUUGGCCUUUGUCCUGUGGAUUGAAUGAAGCAAAGGAGUGAACCAUGUUUGAUUAUCUGGAAGAAAAACUUCCAGGCCAAACUAAGAAUGUGGUACCAAGCUAGGUAGCAAAGUAAGCAGGGCAAAGGUGAUUUAAAAAAAAAAAAGGGGGGGUGACAGUAAAAGUAAUCAGAGGACAUGUUAUUGUAAUUGUAGGCUGGCACUUCAUUUCUUUAUUUCUGGAAAAUAUUGAUGUGUACAGUAAGAAUAAAGGAUUCAUUGGGAAAUGACAGAAACGGGGGCUGAUGGAACUAGAGCUACGUAUCAUGGGAAAGAUGCGUAAAAUGGAUUACACUGAGGUUCUCUUGAGAGUGGAAGGAUGAUGCGGCCUUAGCGGUGUUUUAGAAAUACGAACCUAGUGUUUUAUGGGGUAGGAGUGAAUGUUUUCUGUGUUUCUAGUCCAGCACACGAUGCUGUGAAAAUAUGCCAGUAACUUUAUCUACAGUGAUGAAGGCAAUAUAAGAAGAGAUUAAAUUUAGGAUUUAAAGAUCCUAAUAAGAUGAAUAUUAACUGGCAUUAGAAUUUUAUGUUAAGUAUCUACCAUAUGAUCUCACAUUUUAAUAAUAUACUAAUAAAAUGAUAGGCACCAAAAUGUUAUGGCUAUAUCUGGGUGUGGGUUAAAGAUUUUACCUUUUUACUUGCAUAUUCUAGUUGCUUUUAAAAGCUUAGGCAUUUUCCUAAGAAAACAAUAUAUUUUAUUUUAGUAAAAGUAAAAUUAAUGCAGCAGAUCCAAUUAUAGACAGGCACAGCAAUAAAAUCUCUCUGGAUAAUAAUGUUUGCAUUAUUUAAUCAACACACUCCACUGUUCUGCCAAGGUUCUGUUGUUCUAUAUUUAAUCAAAAUAUUUAUUAAUGAUGUAUGUUUAUAAAUUCAAUACUUUGAGAAGCUCAUAACAUAGACCUGAAACAUGCAUUUUGGAAACAUGCAUUUUGGAAAUUUUCCAUGGAAGGAAGGACCAUCCAGAGGCUGCCCCACCCAGGGAUCCAUCCCAUAUACAACCACCAAACCCAGACACUAUUGCAUAUGCCAGCAAGGUCUGAAGUAUAUCUUCAAAUCUGGAAUGGCAAUACCUCCAGCACUUUUUGUUUGUUUUUGUUUAUUUGUUUUGUUUUGCUAUUCAGGAUCAUUUUGGCUACAAUGGGUCUUUUAUAUUUCCAUGUAAAGUGUAAUAUUCUUUUCUAGUUUCUGUGAAGAAUUACAUUGGAAUUGUGAUGAGGAUUGUGUUGAUGGGGUGUAGAUUUCUGUUAGAAAGACAGCUAUUUUCACAAGUGUAAUGCUGCCAAGCAUGACCGCUUCCAUCUUCUGUUAUCUUCUUCAGUCUCUUUCAGUGUCUUCAGAGAGCAAAGCCUGCUUGCUUCCUCAUCCCAUUUGCUUGGAGUACCUUUACCACCUUUAAGAUGGUGCCUUAAAGACAACAGAAAGAUGGGUUGUUGUGUGCCAUUGAGGUAUAUAUAUCAGGUCUAAACAUUGUCUUUUUAAGAAAAAUAC
Molecule: long non-coding RNA, 4536 nt
Filed under: Mus musculus (house mouse)
Lineage: Eukaryota; Metazoa; Chordata; Mammalia; Rodentia; Muridae
Description: RIKEN cDNA B930094E09 gene
Source: RNAcentral